Molecule: ribosomal RNA, 460 nt
Filed under: uncultured bacterium
Lineage: Bacteria
Description: partial 16S ribosomal RNA
Rfam family: Bacterial small subunit ribosomal RNA
Source: RNAcentral
CCUACGGUAGGCAGCAGUGAGGAAUAUUGGUCAAUGGACGAGAGUCUGAACCAGCCAAGUAGCGUGAAGGAUGACUGCCCUAUGGGUUGUAAACUUCUUUUAUAUGGGAAUAAAAUGUUCCACGUGUGGGAUUUUGUAUGUACCAUAUGAAUAAGGAUCGGCUAACUCCGUGCCAGCAGCCGCGGUAAUACGGAGGAUCCGAGCGUUAUCCGGAUUUAUUGGGUUUAAAGGGAGCGUAGGUGGAUUGUUAAGUCAGUUGUGAAAGUUUGCGGCUCAACCGUAAAAUUGCAGUUGAAACUGUCGGACUAGAGACGGCGAGAAGUACGCGGAAUGCGCGGUGUAGCGGUGAAAUGCAUAGAUAUCGCGCAGAACUCCGAUUGCGAAGGCAGCGUACCGGCGCCGGACUGACGCUGAGGCACGAAAGCGUGGGUAUCGAACAGGAUUAGAUACCCUAGUAGUC